RNAcentral lists this microRNA (22 nucleotides) under Mus musculus (house mouse). Its description in RNAcentral is "mmu-miR-1191b-3p". Lineage: Eukaryota; Metazoa; Chordata; Mammalia; Rodentia; Muridae. The record is from miRBase by way of RNAcentral.
AGACUCACUAUGUAGCCCAAGC